GGGAGGAGAUGAACAUAUACAAAUCAAUUCAGAAUUAAUGGACUUAAAGAAAUGCUGAUGCUCUAACACAAGACAUCGUUUUCAAUUAGAAGAAAUUAAUACUUACAACUUAUCCCAUUCUGUGGUAUUGAAACAUUUUUAUUUUAAAACUUACAAUAUUUCUCCUUCUAUCUCCUCAAAGUUGUAAUUCCUCACUAUAGGUGUUUUAACUUAUAUGUUAAUCCUUUCAAAGAUAUUUCCUACUACCUUCAUUAUAAGCUACUUUAUGAAAGUUUAUAGAAUGAAAAAUGAAGAAAUGCUAGGUUGCUGUAAAUUAAUAAAGAGACUAGAAAUAUAAUAUAAAUUUAUAAUCCAUGGGGGAGUCAGAAGAGCUUAGAUGAAGGAACCAAGUUCUGUCUGCCUCAGGACCCCUUGCUUUUUAUUAACACAAAUUGUCCUAAGGCAAGGUAGAUAUACAUAUCAAAGGUUAAGAUUUAGUAUACAGAAGCAUUGUCAGUUUCCUUUGGCUGUUCAGGUGUUUGGCUAGCAGGAGGCACUAAUGUAGAUUAAAAUGCCCUCAGCAUUUAUUGUCUGGUAACAUGAAAUAAAAUAUAUGCAAAUCUUUAGGUCUGGGGAAAUGCCCUUCAGCCAUUCCAGUAGGUAAUAACAUGUAUUCAGCCCUGUUGAAUAUAGAAGCCUCAAGGUUCCAUCAACCUUUUGAUGAAACUUCUUGUAUUUAUGACAUGCUGGAAUUAGCUUCCGGCACUAGGUCCUAUCAAUCUCAAAGGGUGAGUAAUUAAAACUAUGCAAACUGCUAAGUUUACAAGUACAACUAAUAUAUCGGUAGUAGCUUUCUUGGGGGAACAAGGGGCAUUUUGCUGUCACAAAUGUGUAUUUUACUGUGAUAGUUACUGCAACAAAGCCAUGUUGAGAUGUAGAUGCUAGGCUCUCUAAAUUGCUGCAAACUAGCUUUUGCACUGCAUGAGUCAAAUUUGUGCCUCAAUAAAAUUACAAAUAACUGUACAUCAUACUUGGAAUAAUUGAAAGGCAGCACACAUUAAAUCUGAUUCAACAUAAUAUACUUUAAUCAAAACUCUAGCAAAGGCUAACAGAUUUGUAACAUUAGAACAAAUUUUCCUAUACUUCUAUUCUUUGCUUUUGUCUUUAGCAAGUAUCUAAGGAAUUAUUUGUUUUUCUAAAUUUUUUUAGCUUGAGUGCAAUUCAGUGCAGGUAAAAGAAACUUCCUGCUUGUUAAUACUUUGAUUCAUAAUUUGUGUGGGCAUUAGCAAGUACUUAAAAUAGGAGGAUGGAAGGAAAAGCUCAGAAAGCCCUUCUAUUUUAAAGGGUGAGAUUAUCUACUUUUUAAAGGAGAAAGUGACAAAAGUAUAUACUUACUUUUUUGAUAUGGAUAUGCCAACUGAUAUUGAUAGCAUGAGAAGGAAAGGAUGAAUGUUAAUCUAUUUUGGAAUUGCAGUCUUCUCUUGGCUUGGAUCAUAUCCAGUCACCACUAUGCAAUGAAUGAUGUGCACUAGGAAAGAUUAGGAUGGAUUUUUAAAGAUGUAUCUUACUUAUAAUUACCUUUGCAACAGUCAAAAGAUGUCUAAAUAGGAAUGUGUUCUGUAAACCUCAAGACCCUCUGUUGGUUAUUCCCGUACAUAUUUAUUUAUUUGCUAGUGAGACACUUAAAUAUAAUAUGGAUUCUUAUUUGCCAGGAUUUUUGGUGGUGCCUUAUGAAAAGUAUAACUUGAUUUCUUGUUUUUUGAGCAUGUUUUGCAUUUUUUGUUUUCUGAAAGAAUAUUACAUAUGAUUAUUUGCAUUACAUCCAAAAAAUAAAGAACAUUUUUAUGUGUGCUCAGGUUCCCCCCUAUUUUGUCAUUUACAUUGGUGGCAGCUCUGGUAACUGAGUAAAGGUAAAUUUUGGCAGUGAGUUAUUAGUGAUCCUGCGGAAUACUAGCAAGUAUAUGAGAGCCACUUUUAAUCUGUGCCAAAGCAGUUUCUAAUAUUGUAUUUGCUCUCUAUAAAAUAAAGAGCUGGCAUUAAAAUAA
Molecule: long non-coding RNA, 2024 nt
Organism: Pipistrellus kuhlii (Kuhl's pipistrelle)
Lineage: Eukaryota; Metazoa; Chordata; Mammalia; Chiroptera; Vespertilionidae
Exons: 2
Source: RefSeq, a predicted model, not a curated record